UUUUUUUUUAACCUAACCGCUACCGCCCGCAACCGCAAACGCUUGCGGGAAGGAGCUUUUGAAAACUGGCGAUUUCGAGCGGUUUAAAGCGAUAUCUAGCGGUUUCUAUGAUUGAUGUUAAUCGCUAACAACCGCUACCAACCGCAAACGCUGCGUUUGCGGGUGGUAGAGGGAGAACCAAUCAAGACCUAACUCUCUCCCACAACUUGACACAUCAGCACAUGAGAGCUUGCCACCUAGACUUCAUAAAAUAAGUAAUACAUAAUUAGUAAUUAAUUCAACAUAACAACUAAAAUAGGAGAAUAUAAUUAAUGAAAACUUGAACCAUCACUCUUUCUACAUUUUUUAAUUCAAUAUAUCCUCUUUAAUUUUGAGAUCCACUUAAGUGGUUAAAGUGGUGAUAAAAUCCAAACAUGUUACACAUAUUCCUGGCCUAAAAAUUAAAAAUUAGACGAUUAUUAUGAAAAAAACUAAAUGAAUAUGCAGAUUGAAUAUAUCUAAGCUUUUCGAGAUUUAUGUUAAGAAAACAAGUAAUUAGAAAGAUAUUUGAGGAGCUAUCCUUAUAACUAAUACGUAAGAUAUAAGAUUAUGACAAAAACUUAACUAAACUUUCCAAGAACAUAAAAUUGAAUAUGCUUAGAUUGAAUAUGAAGAGACAUGAUUAAUAAAGACAAGUUAUAUUUUUAGUGUAAGAAAUAAAUUUUCUAAAAUUUCACCGUCUCACAAUCUAUACAUAUAACUAAAAAAGCAAGGACAUAUAAAUUCAAAAAAAAAACUGAGAAUCUAAAACAACAAUAAAAAACAACUCAAGCACAUUCGUUUUUCAGAUGAACUAAUACAGUUGGGUUUUUCUAAAACAAUUACAAAUCAUAUUUAUGUUUCAAAACCUAUGCAUUCAACUUUACUUUAUAUGAACAGACAUUAUAUAAAACAAUUUGUAAAUAGUAAUACGUAAACAAAUGUAGCGUUUCUUGGAUGAGGGAAAAUGUUGAAAAAAUUGAAAGUAUU
Molecule: small RNA, 1008 nt
Filed under: Arabidopsis thaliana (thale cress)
Lineage: Eukaryota; Viridiplantae; Streptophyta; Magnoliopsida; Brassicales; Brassicaceae
Description: ATSL180030
Source: RNAcentral